AUAUUCUUCUUUUUGUGCUUCUAUCAAAUUUCCAGGGUAUUUUCCAUCUAUGACUUUUGAAACUUUUUGUUGAAUAAAAAUCCCCUUUAUCUUUUAUUGCCAAAUUGAAAAAUUUUAUUUUCAAUUGAAAAUUCUAAUUUCGAAAUGUGAAGAUUUUGAAAAACAGAAUGACCAAAGUACACAAAUAGGUCACACAAAAUAAUCCUUAGGCCAUAGUUUACAAAGUUCUAGAUUUCUAGGGCUUCGUGAAAUUCAAGAUUUUGGUAUCAAUGGAAUGUUCAAAUGGGUGAAGUUUUGGUGUUCUAACAAAGUAAUCAAUGCAACACGAAUGUAUGUCAACAAGAAUUCAAAUUUUCACGCAAUGUAGUCUCACACAAUAACUAAAUGACAAUUAAAGCACAAAAACAAUUAUCAACUUGCGGUUAAAUUUAACACUUCUGCAAGUAAUUACUAAAUUUC
Molecule: long non-coding RNA, 459 nt
Filed under: Olea europaea (common olive)
Lineage: Eukaryota; Viridiplantae; Streptophyta; Magnoliopsida; Lamiales; Oleaceae
Description: long non-coding RNA (OEUR_LNC000114)
Source: RNAcentral